GACGAACGCUGGCGGCGUGCUUAACACAUGCAAGUCGAACGGAAAGGCCCUGCUUUUGUGGGGUUCUCGAGUGGCGAACGGGUGAGUAACACGUGAGUAACCUGCCCUUGACUUUGGGAUAACUUCAGGAAACUUGGGCUAAUACCGGAUAGGAACUCCUGCUGCAUGGUGGGGGUUGGAAAGUUUCGGCGGUUGGGGAUGGACUCGCGGCUUAUCAGCUUGUUGGUGGGGUAGUGGCUUACCAAGGCUUUGACGGGUAGCCGGCCUGAGAGGGUGACCGGCCAAAUUGGGACUGAGAUACGGCCCAGACUCCUACGGGAGGCAGCAGUGGGGAAUAUUGCACAAUGGGCGGAAGACUGAUGCAGCAACGCCGCGUGCGGGAUGACGGCCUUCGGGUUGUAAACCGCUUUCGCCUGUGACGAAGCGUGAGUGACGGUAAUGGGUAAAGAAGCACCGGCUAACUACGUG
RNAcentral lists this ribosomal RNA (468 nucleotides) under uncultured bacterium. Its description in RNAcentral is "partial 16S ribosomal RNA". It matches the Rfam family "Bacterial small subunit ribosomal RNA", at positions 28 to 507 of the family's 1533-position model. The record is from RNAcentral.